ACAUACCUAUACGUUGCCUCGGCGGAUCAGCCCGCGCCCCGUAAAACGGGACGGCCCGCCGCAGGACCCACAAACCCUGAAUUUUAUUGUAACUUCUGAGUUUAAAAAACAAAUAAAUCAAAACUUUCAACAACGGAUCUCUUGGUUCUGGCAUCGAUGAAGAACGCAGCAAAAUGCGAUAAGUAAUGUGAAUUGCAGAAUUCAGUGAAUCAUCGAAUCUUUGAACGCACAUUGCGCCCGCCAGUAUUCUGGCGGGCAUGCCUGUUCGAGCGUCAUUUCAACCCUCAAGCCCCCGGGUUUGGUGUUGGGGAUCGGGCUGCGGUUCUACCGCGUCCCGGCCCCGAAAUCUAGUGGCGGUCUCGCUGCAGCCUCCAUUGCGUAGUAGCUAACACCUCGCAACUGGAACGCGGCGCGGCCAAGCCGUUAAACCCCCAACUUUCUGAAUGUUGACCUCGGAUCAGGUAGGAAUACCCGC
RNAcentral lists this ribosomal RNA (475 nucleotides) under Fusarium chlamydosporum. RNAcentral describes it as "eukaryotic LSU rRNA". The stretch from base 122 to 275 matches the Rfam family "5.8S ribosomal RNA". Lineage: Eukaryota; Fungi; Ascomycota; Sordariomycetes; Hypocreales; Nectriaceae. The record is from RNAcentral.